Molecule: ribosomal RNA, 445 nt
Filed under: uncultured bacterium
Lineage: Bacteria
Description: SSU rRNA
Rfam family: Bacterial small subunit ribosomal RNA
Source: RNAcentral
AGAGCGAACGCUGGCGGCAGGCUUAACACAUGCAAGUCGAACGGAUCCUUCGGGAUUAGUGGCGGACGGGUGAGUAACACGUGGGAACGUGCCUUUAGGUUCGGAACAACACAGGGAAACUUGUGCUAAUACCGGAUGUGCCCUUCGGGGGAAAGAUUUAUCGCCUUUAGAGCGGCCCGCGUCUGAUUAGCUUGUUGGUGAGGUAAAGGCUCACCAAGGCUACGAUCAGUAGCUGGUCUGAGAGGAUGGCCAGCCACAUUGGGACUGAGACACGGCCCAAACUCCUACGGGAGGCAGCAGUGGGGAAUCUUGCGCAAUGGGGGAAACCCUGACGCAGCCAUGCCGCGUGGAUGAUGAAGGUCUUAGGAUUGUAAAAUCCUUUCAGCGGGGACGAUAAUGACGGUACCGCAGAAGACGCCCCGGCUAACUUCGCGCCAGCAGCCGC